RNAcentral lists this ribosomal RNA (324 nucleotides) under uncultured eukaryote. Its description in RNAcentral is "partial 18S ribosomal RNA". It matches the Rfam family "Eukaryotic small subunit ribosomal RNA", at positions 1470 to 1796 of the family's 1831-position model. The record is from RNAcentral.
CCCUUAGAUGUUCUGGGCUGCACGCGCGCUACACUGAAGUUAUCAACACGUUUUCCCUCCCUGAGAAGGGCGGGUAACCUUUUGAAUCAGCUUCGUGGUAGGGAUCGGGGCUUGCAAUUGUUCCCCGUGAACCAGGAAUUCCUAGUAGACGCGAGUCAUAAGCUCGCAUCGAUUAAGUCCCUGCCCUUUGUACACACCGCCCGUCGCUACUACCGAUUGAACGUUUUAGUGAGGCAUUUGGACCGACGCAUCUCAGUUUAACCGCUGGUUUGUGUUGGAAAGACUUCCAAACUUGAGCGUUUAGAGGAAGUAAAAGUCGUAACA